This 1413-nucleotide ribosomal RNA is filed under the name uncultured bacterium. Its description in RNAcentral is "bacterial SSU rRNA". It matches the Rfam family "Bacterial small subunit ribosomal RNA". The record is from RNAcentral.
AGAGUUUGAUCCUGGCUCAGGAUGAACGCCGGCGGUGUGCCUAAUACAUGCAAGUCGUACGCACUGGCCCAACUGAUUGAUGGUGCUUGCACCGGAUUGACGAUGGAUCACCAGUGAAUGGCGGACGGGUGAGUAACACGUAGGUAACCUGCCCCGGAGCGGGGGAUAACAUUUGGAAACAGAUGCUAAUACCGCAUAACAACAAAAGCCACAUGGCUUUUGUUUGAAAGAUGGCUUUGGCUAUCACUCUGGGAUGGACCUGCGGUGCAUUAGCUAGUUGGUAAGGUAACGGCUUACCAAGGCGACGAUCAGUAGCCGGCCUGAGAGGGUGAACGGCCACAUUGGGACUGAGACACGGCCCAAACUCCUACGGGAGGCAGCAGUGGGGAAUAUUGCACAAUGGGGGAAACCCUGAUGCAGCGACGCCGCGUGAGUGAAGAAGUAUUUCGGUAUGUAAAGCUCUAUCAGCAGGGAAGAAAAAAGACGGUACCUGACUAAGAAGCCCCGGCUAACUACGUGCCAGCAGCCGCGGUAAUACGUAGGGGGCAAGCGUUAUCCGGAUUUACUGGGUGUAAAGGGAGCGUAGACGGCAGCGCAAGUCUGGAGUGAAAUGCCGGGGCCCAACCCCGGAACUGCUUUGGAAACUGUGCAGCUUGAGUGCGGGAGAGGUAAGUGGAAUUCCUAGUGUAGCGGUGAAAUGCAUAGAUAUUAGGAGGAACACCAGUGGCGAAGGCGGCUUACUGGACCGUAACUGACGUUGAGGCUCGAAAGCGUGUGGAGCAAACAGGAUUAGGUACCCUGGUAGUCCACGCCGUAAACGAUGAUUACUGGGUGUCGGGGGACCAAGGUCCUCCCGGUGCCGGCGCAAACGCAUUAAGUAAUCCACCUGGGGAGUACGUUCGCAAGAAUGAAACUCAAAGGAAUUGACGGGGACCCGCACAAGCGGUGGAGCAUGUGGUUUAAUCCGAAGCAACGCGAAGAGCCUUACCCGGCCUUGACAUCCCGAUGAAUGUACAGUAAUGUGUACAGGACUUCGGUACAUCGGAGACAGGUGGUGCAUGGUUGUCGUCAGCUCGUGUCGUGAGAUGUUGGGUUAAGUCCCGCAACGAGCGCAACCCCUGCCCUCAGUAGCCAGCAGGUAAAGCUGGGAACUCUGAGGGGACUGCCCGGGAUAACCGGGAGGAAGGCGGGGAUGACGUCAAAUCAUCAUGCCCCUUAUGGCCGGGGCUACACACGUGCUACAAUGGCGGAAACAGAGGGAGGCAGCCCCGUGAGGGUGAGCGAACCCCAAAAAUACCGCCUCAGUUCGGAUUGUAGUCUGCAACCCGACUACAUGAAGCCGGAAUCGCUAGUAAUCGCGAAUCAGAAUGUCGCGGUGAAUACGAACCCGGGUCUUGCACUCACCGCCCGUCA